AUGAAGGGCACCUGGUCACCUCGGAACUACCUGCCUCCGCCGCCGCCGGCCCUCUCCGCCCUCCCCCGGUCUUUUCCGCCCUCCGUCGCCCUGUUCUUCUUCCCCUCCCCAUCCUCUCCUAAUCUUCUCCGGCGCGCGCACUCGCGGAUGCAGGCGCAUGGCUUGGGCAGGAGACAUGGCUCACGGCGGCGGCAUCUCUCCUCAGGAGGAGCUCGGGCGUUGAGGUCGGGGUGUGCGCUGCCCCUAGGACGGAGUCCACCGACCCAUGCUGGUCAUGGUCCACCACCACCACGCCUUCAAUCCGACCUCCACCACUCCAGCAAGCAGGAGCAUCGCAAUGGCUGCGGUUUGAUGAACUUGAGUGACGAGGUUGAUUUGGAAGAUCAUGUCUCCAGACAGGAUAAAAUCAGUGCUAAUGCACCCCUUUUCUGCCUCCUCCUGAAGCUGGCAUGCCUGUUAUCCGCAAAAAUCGGUAAUGUUAUCCUGCCCAAGGACUUCGAGAAGGGUUACCGAACAAACUUCAAGAAGCCUUAG
RNAcentral lists this ribosomal RNA (534 nucleotides) under Triticum aestivum (bread wheat). RNAcentral's name for it is "partial small subunit ribosomal RNA". The record is from RNAcentral. Lineage: Eukaryota; Viridiplantae; Streptophyta; Magnoliopsida; Poales; Poaceae.